RNAcentral lists this ribosomal RNA (449 nucleotides) under uncultured bacterium. Its description in RNAcentral is "bacterial SSU rRNA". It matches the Rfam family "Bacterial small subunit ribosomal RNA", at positions 917 to 1382 of the family's 1533-position model. The record is from RNAcentral.
GGACCCGCACAAGCGGUGGAGCAUGUGGUUUAAUUCGACGAUAAGCGAAGAACCUCACCAAGGUUUGACAUCUAGCUGCAAGGCCUGGAAACAGGUCCGCCUUCGAGGGUGCUAGACAGAUGCUGCAUGGUUGUCGUCAGCUCGUGUCGUGAGAUGUACCGUUUAGUCGGAAAACGAGCGCAACCCUGUUCUUAUGUUUCAUGUGUCAUAAGAGACUGCCCGUUUUAAAUGGGAGGAAGGUGGGAUGACGUCAAAUCAGCAUGGUUCUUACACCUUGGGCAACACACGUGCUACAAUGGGAGGUACAAAGGGACGCCAAAUCGCAAGAUGGAGCAAAUCCCUAAAAACCUCUCUCAGUUCGGAUUGAGGUCUGCAAUUCGACCUCAUGAAGUUGGAAUCGCUAGUAAUCGUGGAUCAGCUAUGCCACGGUGAAUACGUUCUCGGGUCUU